GACGAACGCUGGCGGCGUGCUUAACACAUGCAAGUCGAACGGAAAGGCCCUGCUUUUGUGGGUUGCUCGAUUGGCGAACGGGUGAGUAACACGUGAGUAACCUGCCCUUGACUUUGGGAUAACUUCAGGAAACUGGGGCUAAUACCGGAUAGGAUCUCCUGCUCCAUGUUGGGGGUUGGAAAGUUUCGGCGGUUGUGGAUGGACUCGCGGCUUAUCAGCUUGUUUGUGGGGUAGUGGCUUACCAAGGGUUUGACGGGUAGCCGGCCUGUGAGGGUGAACGGCCACAUGGGGACUGAGAGAGGGCGCAGAAUCGUACGGGAGGCAGCAGGGGGGAGUAUUGCAGAAUGGGGGGAAGCGUGAUGCAGAAACGCCGGGAGCGGGAUGACGGCCUUCGGGUUGUAAACCGAUUUCGCCUGUGACGAAGAGUGAGUGACGGUAAUGGGUAAAGAAGCACCGGCUAACUACGUG
This 468-nucleotide ribosomal RNA is filed under the name uncultured bacterium. RNAcentral's name for it is "partial 16S ribosomal RNA". It matches the Rfam family "Bacterial small subunit ribosomal RNA", at positions 28 to 507 of the family's 1533-position model. The record is from RNAcentral.